GACGAACGCUGGCGGCGUGCUUAGCACAUGCAAGUCGAACGGAAAGGCCCUGCUUUUGUGGGGUGCUCGAGUGGCGAACGGGUGAGUAACACGUGAGUAACCUGCCCUUGACUUUGGGAUAACUUCAGGAAACUGGGGCUAAUACCGGAUAGGAGCUCCUGCUGCAUGUUGGGGGUUGGAAAGUUUCGGCGGUUGGGGAUGGACUCGCGGCUUAUCAGCUUGUUGGUGGGGUAGUGGCUUACCAAGGCUUUGACGGGUAGCCGGCCUGAGAGGGUGACCGGCCACAUUGGGACUGAGAUACGGCCCAGACUCCUACGGGAGGCAGCAGUGGGGAAUAUUGCACAAUGGGCGGAAGCCUGAUGCAGCAACGCCGCGUGCGGGAUGACGGCCUUCGGGUUGUAAACCGCUUUCGCCUGUGACGAAGCGUGAGUGACGGUAAUGGGUAAAGAAGCACCGGCUAACUACGUG
RNAcentral lists this ribosomal RNA (468 nucleotides) under uncultured bacterium. RNAcentral describes it as "partial 16S ribosomal RNA". It matches the Rfam family "Bacterial small subunit ribosomal RNA", at positions 28 to 507 of the family's 1533-position model. The record is from RNAcentral.